This 450-nucleotide ribosomal RNA is filed under the name uncultured bacterium. RNAcentral describes it as "bacterial SSU rRNA". It matches the Rfam family "Bacterial small subunit ribosomal RNA", at positions 354 to 796 of the family's 1533-position model. The record is from RNAcentral.
GUGGGGAAUUUUGGACAAUGGGCGCAAGCCUGAUCCAGCAAUGCCGCGUGCAGGAAGAAGGCCUUCGGGUUGUAAACUGCUUUUGUACGGAACGAAACGGUCCGGGUUAAUACCCUGGGCUAAUGACGGUACCGUAAGAAUAAGCACCGGCUAACUACGUGCCAGCAGCCGCGGUAAUACGUAGGGUGCAAGCGGUAACCGGAAUUACUGGGCGUAAAGCGUGCGCAGGCGGUUUUGUAAGACAGGCGUGAAAUCCCCGGGCUCAACCUGGGAAUUGCGCUUGGGACUGCAAGGCUGGAGUGCGGCAGAGGGGGAUGGAAUUCCGCGUGUAGCAGUGAAAUGCGUAGAUAUGCGGAGGAACACCGAUGGCGAAGGCAAUCCCCUGGGCCUGCACUGACGCUCAUGCACGAAAGCGUGGGGAGCAAACAGGAUUAGAUACCCGUGUAGUCC